GCCACAUUCAGAGCAAGUAAUCUGAGAUCUCCUAACAGAGUACAAUAUCAACAGAGGAUCCUGUGGCACCUUUAAGACUAACAGAAGUAUUGGGAGCAUAAGCUUUCGUGGGUAAGAACCUCACUUCUUCAGAUGCAGAGAAGAUGUCUCAAGGAGGACUAAAUAAUGUGAUUUCAUUAAGGAACAUAUACAUUCAGGACAAAUUCUGCCAAGAGGAGCAUUUUUCUUCCUUUCAAUAGGCACAGAAGCAUAGUUUAGAUCCCUAAAGACUUCAACUCACCAGAAAUCUGUUUUAAGGACCGAAAUUCGGGUAACAAAAACAGAGGAGAACUAACAUCCUGCAACCUGCUGACUUCUAUAGCCGUGAGAAACUCGCCAAUGUCACAACCAACGAAAUCCAGCGUGGGAGGGGGGGUCCCCCCGCCCCCCCAGUUUCUAUCUGGCCGUGUGGGUCCUUGCACAACACCCCCGGCGGUCACAUCCUGGUGCCUGCGCUUCCCCCAGACGUGUUCAGCCUGCCCGAGAAUCCCCCCGCCCCAGCGUGUAAAACGCGAAAACUUAGAUUGGCUGGUGCAGAUGGCACCGCUGUCGGCAGAUUUCAGGGAGUAAUCCUUGUUGUCUUCCUGGCCUGCAUCUCUCUAAAGACAAAGACUGCGUCGAUUGUUUCCCUGUCAUCAGGUAUUGGCCACAGCUGGAGGCAGGACCCUGAACUUGGACCAAUCGUCUGUUCUGGUAUCGCAACUCCUACAGCAUGUUCCUAAGCAAAGAAAGAGUCAGCUCCCGGGGGCAGUGCAAUAUGUCAGCGAGACAGAGAGAGGCAGCCCGGGACAGCUGCAGCUCAGAACUUCAAUUUGUAAUGACUGUCUGACCCACAAGCCAAAAUGUUGGUGGUGUUUUGCUUUACUGAAGCCACACAGGGAUCUCAAAGGCUUAGUAAGGUAUCCCUUUCUCCAGUGAGAAGGCUGCACUCUUGAGCACUUGCCAGGCCUUUUGGAAGCUUCUAAACAGAACUAAAAGCUUAUGCUGCAAAUUUCAAUUGCUCAUUUUUGUUGUUUACAGAAAUGUCUAUUCUCAGUCCAAGAAUCUCCAGAGUGCUGCCAUUUUGAA
This is a long non-coding RNA of Malaclemys terrapin pileata, 1107 nucleotides long. RefSeq lists it as uncharacterized. The record is from RefSeq and is a predicted model, not a curated record. NCBI's taxonomy places the organism in Eukaryota, Metazoa, Chordata, Testudines, Emydidae. The transcript has 3 exons.